Molecule: non-coding RNA, 120 nt
Filed under: Pseudomonas aeruginosa
Lineage: Bacteria; Pseudomonadati; Pseudomonadota; Gammaproteobacteria; Pseudomonadales; Pseudomonadaceae
Description: partial 16S ribosomal RNA
Rfam family: Bacterial small subunit ribosomal RNA
Source: RNAcentral
GAACUGAAGAGUUUGAUCAUGGCUCAGAUUGAACGCUGGCGGCAGGCCUAACACAUGCAAGUCGAGCGGAUGACGGGAGCUUGCUCCUUGAUUCAGCGGCGGACGGGUGAGUAAUGCCUA